RNAcentral lists this non-coding RNA (26 nucleotides) under Rattus norvegicus (Norway rat). Lineage: Eukaryota; Metazoa; Chordata; Mammalia; Rodentia; Muridae. The record is from RNAcentral.
GAGCCUCACUGGGUUAGGGCCCGUAU